GCCCCUAUAGUUUAUCUGGUAAAACAGCGGAUUUGUAACCCGCAGUGCUUUGUUCGAGUCGAGGUGGGGGCACCA
This 75-nucleotide transfer RNA is filed under the name Candidatus Scalindua sp. RNAcentral's name for it is "tRNA-Thr". It matches the Rfam family "tRNA". Rfam says of the family: Transfer RNA (tRNA) molecules are approximately 80 nucleotides in length. Their secondary structure includes four short double-helical elements and three loops (D, anti-codon, and T loops). Lineage: Bacteria; Pseudomonadati; Planctomycetota; Candidatus Brocadiia; Candidatus Brocadiales; Candidatus Scalinduaceae. RNAcentral also lists the same sequence under 1 other name. The record is from RNAcentral.